UGAAGGUUCCAUACCUAGGGCUACGGAAUGAAACAAGUCCCAAGGUUGAAGGAAAAGGGCAAGGCAAAGGAUGAUUACGCCACUCAACAGGAAAUGGCAGCCUCAUUACGAUUAAUGGCGGAGUAGAAUGCUUUUGUCGCGGAAGAAAGGAACCGUAGGCAUGAAGAACUGGCCAAACAAAUACAAGAAGAGAUGGAUGAUAAGAAUAUGGAAAAGA
Molecule: long non-coding RNA, 217 nt
Filed under: Malus domestica (apple)
Lineage: Eukaryota; Viridiplantae; Streptophyta; Magnoliopsida; Rosales; Rosaceae
Description: long non-coding RNA (MDOM_LNC013909)
Source: RNAcentral